AUCUUUAUUGUUCCUAGGAUUGGCUUUGGGCCUUUCCUACAUAGUUUAGGUGGAAGGCAAAGAAGGCCUCCUUUUGGAGGGGCUUAAGUCAUCAGUGAGAUACCACUCUGGAAGAGUUAGAAUUCUAACUUUGUGUUAGGAUUUACGGGCCAAUAGACAGUCUUAGGUAGACAGUUUCUAUGGGAUGUAGGCCUCCCAAAAGGUAAUGGAACCAUUAUAUGUUUUAAAAAU
This 231-nucleotide non-coding RNA is filed under the name Eucalyptus grandis. RNAcentral describes it as "Bacterial large subunit ribosomal RNA". It matches the Rfam family "Bacterial large subunit ribosomal RNA", at positions 2097 to 2325 of the family's 2925-position model. The record is from Rfam by way of RNAcentral. Lineage: Eukaryota; Viridiplantae; Streptophyta; Magnoliopsida; Myrtales; Myrtaceae.